RNAcentral lists this unclassified non-coding RNA (829 nucleotides) under Hevea brasiliensis (rubber tree). The record is from RNAcentral. Lineage: Eukaryota; Viridiplantae; Streptophyta; Magnoliopsida; Malpighiales; Euphorbiaceae.
UUCUUUUCUCUCUCUCUCUCUCUCUCUCUGCUAUGGAAACCCAAAUCCUCUUCUCUCUCUCUUUGAAUUCUUUUGCUUGAUUAAUCUGCUUUUGGCUCUCGAUUGAUGACACUAAACCCCAUCUGCAAGCCAAGGAGGAAGACAAGACGAAGAGGAGAAGGGUAAAAGCGUCACUGUUGCUCUUUUUUUCUUAGCUGCUUGCUUGCUCUCUCUCAUGGAGGUCUUGGUGGGUCCCACCUUCAGCAUCGAUGUCUCUUCUUCCCCACCGUUCGUCGACCCUUCUUCUCAAGAUAAUCACCAUGGUUCUGCGACUUCUUGCAUCUUCUUUAACGAGGACGAUGGCGGUGGAAGUGAGAGCUUGAUUUCUAGUGGGAUCCGGCUUAAAAAAUCGCUGGAUGAUUCCUCAGAUAGUUCGUCAUCGAUUGGAGCUCCGGAUGAUAGUGGAGAAGAAAGAGAGGAGGAGGUCGACAGCUCCGUUAAAGGAGCGUUGGCUUCUUUGGAUACUAUGGAAGAUUCUCUUCCUAUCAAGAGGGGAUUAUCGAAUCAUUUCUCUGGGAAGUCCAAGUCAUUUGCAAAUCUAUCAGAUAUGGGCAGUGUAAAUAGGGUGAAAGAUCUGGAGAAACCAGAGAACCCUUUCAAUAAGAGGAGGAGACUAAUCAUAGCAAACAAGUGGUCUAGAAAAUCCUCCUUCUACAGUUGGCCAAACCCAAAAUCUAUGCCUCUUCUUGCCUUGAACGAAGAAGAAGACGCUGCUGAUGAUGAACAAGAAGAAAACCAACAAGCAAGCCCAUCAUCAUCAUCAGAACAAGAAGGCCAAAAUCAGCAGCGC